CGCCUUGGCCAAUCGCAGUUCCUUCGGUGAGAUAGUGGAAGCCAGUGUCAUUGAACGCUUUUACUGCUUAAAAAAAUGAAUUAAAUACUAUUUUUAAGUAAGUGCCAGUAUCAAGUUCUUCUCAUUAAAGCACAGAAACUGGAAGCGAACAAGCAUUUCAGCUGAGUGCCUGUUCACCAUCUACAAGAAACAAGUCAGAAGUGU
Non-coding RNA from Chiloscyllium plagiosum (whitespotted bambooshark), 204 nucleotides. Lineage: Eukaryota; Metazoa; Chordata; Chondrichthyes; Orectolobiformes; Hemiscylliidae. The record is from RefSeq and is a predicted model, not a curated record.